UACGAAGGGGGCGAGCGUUGUUCGGAAUUACUGGGCGUAAAGCGCACGUAGGCGGCUACUCAAGUCAGAGGUGAAAGCCCAGGGCUCAACCUUGGAACUGCCUUUGAAACUAGGUAGCUAGAAUUCUGGAGAGGUCAGUGGAAUUCCGAGUGUAGAGGUGAAAUUCGUAGAUAUUCGGAAGAACACCAGUGGCGAAGGCGACUGACUGGACAGAUAUUGACGCUGAGGUGCGAAAGCGUGGGGAGCAAACAGG
This 253-nucleotide ribosomal RNA is filed under the name uncultured bacterium. Its description in RNAcentral is "partial 16S ribosomal RNA". It matches the Rfam family "Bacterial small subunit ribosomal RNA", at positions 524 to 776 of the family's 1533-position model. The record is from RNAcentral.